UAGGGAAUCUUCCGCAAUGGGCGAAAGCCUGACGGAGCAACGCCGCGUGAGUGAUGAAGGUCUUCGGAUCGUAAAACUCUGUUAUUAGGGAAGAACAAAUGUGUAAGUAACUAUGCACGUCUUGACGGUACCUAAUCAGAAAGCCACGGCUAACUACGUGCCAGCAGCCGCGGUAAUACGUAGGUGGCAAGCGUUAUCCGGAAUUAUUGGGCGUAAAGCGCGCGUAGGCGGUUUUUUAAGUCUGAUGUGAAAGCCCACGGCUCAACCGUGGAGGGUCAUUGGAAACUGGAAAACUUGAGUGCAGAAGAGGAAAGUGGAAUUCCAUGUGUAGCGGUGAAAUGCGCAGCGAUAUGGAGGAACACCAGUGGCGAAGGCGCCUUUCUGGUCUGUAACUGACGCUGAUGUGCGAAAGCGUGGGGAUCAAACAGG
RNAcentral lists this ribosomal RNA (429 nucleotides) under Acidobacteriota bacterium. Its description in RNAcentral is "Acidobacteria bacterium partial 16S ribosomal RNA". It matches the Rfam family "Bacterial small subunit ribosomal RNA", at positions 355 to 776 of the family's 1533-position model. Lineage: Bacteria; Pseudomonadati; Acidobacteriota. The record is from RNAcentral.